RNAcentral lists this ribosomal RNA (428 nucleotides) under uncultured prokaryote. RNAcentral describes it as "bacterial SSU rRNA". It matches the Rfam family "Bacterial small subunit ribosomal RNA", at positions 355 to 774 of the family's 1533-position model. The record is from RNAcentral.
UGAGGAAUAUUGCGCAAUGGGGGCAACCCUGACGCAGCAACGCCGCGUGAGUGAGGAAGGUUUUCGGAUCGUAAAGCUCUGUCGAGUGGGAAGAAAUGUAUCAUGGCUAAUAUCCAUGAUACUUGACGGUACCGCUAAAGGAAGCACCGGCUAACUACGUGCCAGCAGCCGCGGUAAUACGUAGGGUGCAAGCGUUAAUCGGAAUUAUUGGGCGUAAAGAGCGUGUAGGCGGCUGGAUAAGUCAGAUGUGAAAUCCCUGGGCUUAACCCAGGACGUGCAUUUGAAACUGUCCAGCUUGAGUAAGGGAGAGGAAAGUGGAAUUCCUGGUGUAGAGGUGAAAUUCGUAGAUAUCAGGAGGAACACCGGUGGCGAAGGCGACUUUCUGGCCCUAUACUGACGCUGAGACGCGAGAGCGUGGGUAGCAAACA